GACGAACGCUGGCGGCGUGCCUAAUACAUGCAAGUAGAACGCACAGUUUAUACCGUAGCUUGCUACACCAUAGACUGUGAGUUGCGAACGGGUGAGUAACGCGUAGGUAACCUGCCUGGUAGCGGGGGAUAACUAUUGGAAACGAUAGCUAAUACCGCAUAAUAUUAAUUAUUGCAUGAUAAUUGAUUGAAAGAUGCAACUGCAUCACUACCAGAUGGACCUGCGUUGUAUUAGCUAGUAGGUGAGGUAACGGCUCACCUAGGCGACGAUACAUAGCCGACCUGAGAGGGUGAUCGGCCACACUGGGACUGAGACACGGCCCAGACUCCUACGGGAGGCAGCAGUAGGGAAUCUUCGGCAAUGGACGAAAGUCUGACCGAGCAACGCCGCGUGAGUGAAGAAGGUUUUCGGAUCGUAAAGCUCUGUUGUAAGAGAAGAACGGGUGUGAGAGUGGAAAGUUCACACUGUGACGGUAUCUUACCAGAAAAGGACGGCUAACUACGU
RNAcentral lists this ribosomal RNA (504 nucleotides) under uncultured bacterium. RNAcentral describes it as "partial 16S ribosomal RNA". It matches the Rfam family "Bacterial small subunit ribosomal RNA", at positions 28 to 506 of the family's 1533-position model. The record is from RNAcentral.